UACGGAGGGUGCAAGCGUUAUCCGGAUUCACUGGGUUUAAAGGGUGCGUAGGUGGGCAGGUAAGUCAGUGGUGAAAUCUCCGGGCUUAACCCGGAAACUGCCAUUGAUACUAUUUGUCUUGAAUACCGUGGAGGUCAGCGGAAUAUGUCAUGUAGCGGUGAAAUGCUUAGAUAUGACAUAGAACACCAAUUGCGAAGGCAGCUGGCUACACGAAUAUUGACACUGGAUGCACGAAAGCGUUGGGGAUCAAACAGGA
RNAcentral lists this ribosomal RNA (256 nucleotides) under uncultured bacterium. RNAcentral's name for it is "partial 16S ribosomal RNA". It matches the Rfam family "Bacterial small subunit ribosomal RNA", at positions 524 to 777 of the family's 1533-position model. The record is from RNAcentral.